RNAcentral lists this long non-coding RNA (635 nucleotides) under Theobroma cacao (cacao). RNAcentral describes it as "long non-coding RNA (TCAC_LNC002255)". The record is from RNAcentral. Lineage: Eukaryota; Viridiplantae; Streptophyta; Magnoliopsida; Malvales; Malvaceae.
AUUGGUGGAAAAAGGUUGGGCGGAUAAAGGUUUUUGUCCUUUUUGGACAGGUUUUUUUCCGACCUUUAGUGUGCUUUGUGGCUUAGGCUUAUAGAUGACAGUAGGUUUGGGUUUGAGUCUCGGAGGGAGGUAUUGGCGGCUUUGAUCCACAACCUCCCUUGUUUUCUUUACUUUCUUGAUAGCUUGAAUGUCUUGCUUAAUUAUUUUUUUAACAUUCUGAAAUAAGGCCUAAUAGAGCUUAAGAUUGUGUCAAAAUAGAAGUUUGAAUGCACCAAAACUCCUCUCUGCCUUACGGGUGUCACGGCAAUCUCUUCUUGGGUGCUGCAACACCAAAGCCUCAGUUUAUUUUUUCACAUUGUUCUUUCAGGCACUGUGACACCCAGUCCUCUGUUCAUCCAAAGCGUCCUUGCCUUGUUAGGGCGCCGCGAGACUCCUUUCUUCCAUGGCCGCAGCCUUCCAUGCUCUGUCUUGAAUUUCCGACUUGUGAUGCGGUUUUUUCCUUCUUGGAGGCUAAGCUGGAUAAAGUAGUAAACAUGAAAAUUGUAACUUUGCCUCUUAUAUUUCCAAUGAUCAAGAAUAAUGUCAAUUGAACUUUUGUAGUGGAAGAUAUGCUCGAAAUACUACUAGAACAUGAG